This 233-nucleotide ribosomal RNA is filed under the name uncultured bacterium. Its description in RNAcentral is "partial 16S ribosomal RNA". It matches the Rfam family "Bacterial small subunit ribosomal RNA", at positions 114 to 334 of the family's 1533-position model. The record is from RNAcentral.
CGCGUAAAUAAUCUACCCUGAUGUCUGGGAUAACCAGCCGAAAGGCUGACUAAUACCGGCUAUAUGCUACCCUGUUGGGGGUAUCAGGAAAGGUGGCCUCUUCUUGAAAGCUAUCGCAUUGGGAUGAGUUUGCGUACCAUUAGCUAGUUGGUGGGGUAAUGGCCCACCAAGGCGACGAUGGUUAGCGGGUCUGAGAGGAUGAUCCGUCACACUGGCACUGGAACACGGGCCAG